GCUAACAUGGAGCGAGGAGACGCGGUGAGAGUGGUGUUGGAAGGUUUAAUCGGAAGUACGGGGCGGAAAGCGCGCGUAGGCGGUUUGUUUAGUCGGAUGGGAAAGCCCCGGGCUCAACCUGGGAAGUGCAUUCGAUACUGGCAGGCUAGAGUAUGGUAGAGGGAAGUGGAAUUCCGGGUGUAGCGGUGAAAUGCGUAGAUAUCCGGAGGAACACCAGUGGCGAAGGCGGCUUCCUGGACCAAUACUGACGCUGAGGUGCGAAAGCGUGGGGAGCAAACAGGAUUAGAUACCCCAGUAGUC
RNAcentral lists this ribosomal RNA (300 nucleotides) under uncultured Bacillus sp. Its description in RNAcentral is "bacterial SSU rRNA". It matches the Rfam family "Bacterial small subunit ribosomal RNA", at positions 496 to 795 of the family's 1533-position model. Lineage: Bacteria; Bacillati; Bacillota; Bacilli; Caryophanales; Bacillaceae. The record is from RNAcentral.